Hordeum vulgare subsp. vulgare (domesticated barley) is the source of this 1510-nucleotide long non-coding RNA. RefSeq lists it as uncharacterized. The record is from RefSeq and is a predicted model, not a curated record. The transcript has 3 exons. NCBI's taxonomy places the organism in Eukaryota, Viridiplantae, Streptophyta, Magnoliopsida, Poales, Poaceae.
UUCCUUAACCAGGCCUUCCCUACAUGUUCCCUUAGCAGAAGAGAACAAGUUUUGACGUUGUGAUACGCUCAAGGGCACUGAAAAGAACCAUGUUCAGAUUUGAAUUUACCUAUUCUAGCAACGUUGUUGUUCUGGACAAAAUCCAUUUGAUGCUUCUUUUGAACACUCGCUUGUCAGUAGUCACUACCAUAAGGUAAGACGAGCUAAUGGUAGGAGCUAUCAGGUAUCCGGUCCCAGUAGCAUAAGGUAAGCUCUACUAAAACCCGGCCUGCGUGGGAAAGACAGCUCCCGCGGUAUUUUUAAAAGGCAAGAAACUCCCCAAAAUGCUGCGCAUGGGCGCUCAAUCUCAGACAGAAUAAUAAGCCAAGACGGAGAAACUAGUACUGCUAAAUUUAAAUUUAUUAGUACUACAAGUUCAUCUUGUGAUAUUUAAAUUCUCUGUUCUAGCAACGUUGUUGUUGGGGUCAAAAUUCAUUUGCUGCUUCUUUUGAACACUUGCUUCUCAGUAGCAUAAGAUAAGCCUGAAUGGUAGGAGCUAUCAGGCACCCGUUCUCGGUAGCAUAAGGUAAGCUCUAAUAAAACUCGGCCUGCGCGGGAAAGACAGCUCCUACGGUAUUUUUACAAGGCAAGAAACCCCCAGAACGCGGCAUGUGGCUGCUCAACCUCACACGGGGAGCGGAUGCUGUGCGUGUCAGCGAGGGGGAUUUUUUAUGUAAGACCCAGAAUUUAGCAGCGUUAGAUUCGGGGUAAAAAAUCCAUUUGCUGCUUCUUUUUAACACUCGUUUCUCAGUAGCAUAAGGUAAGCAGUAAUUGUAUGAGCUAUCAGGCACCCGUUCUCAGUACCAUAACGUAAACUCUAAUAAAACUCGUUUUGGGCGGGAAAGAUAGUCCCGCGUUUUUUCUAAAGGCAAGAAACCCCAAGAACGCGGCACGUGCCUGCUCAUCCUCACGCGUGGAGCUGACGCUGCACAUGCCAGUGAGGGGGAUUUUUUUUAUGCGAGACCCAGGCUUUGUACAUGGGUCGACCACCCCACUAUAGGAGGCGUUACCACCGCGCUAUCAACAUGUGUGUUGAUGCAAGCGCUAAUGGUAGGAGCUAUCGAGUAACCCAUUGUCCAAGUUACCAAGUCACAAAUACUCUUAACUGCAAUCACACUGUGCGAAAAUCAUAUGGGAAAAUAACUCUGACCAAAUAUGCUAAUGCGAUAUACAUUAUAUGGCAGACAAAGAAAACAACCUCAGAUAAAGAAGGUAAUGCUGAAUUUCUACCAUUCUUUAUGAUGUAGGACAACAAAGUUAGAAAAUAUACAUUAGCCAAUUUACUAUAUCGGGGAUUAACUGUGAUGUAUUUCCAUUGAGCCAGGCACUAUUAGAGCUGCCUGUUGCUCUUCUGAAGCUAUCUCGUUUUUUUUUAAACAGAGGCACGCUAGAGCUGCCUGUUACUUUUCUGAAGCUAUCUCAGAUUUCAGGGUUCUGCAAGGUAGGAAAGCGAGUCCUGAAAUGGGCCACG